GCCGGGCAUGGUGGCGCAUGCCUGUAAUCCCAGCUACUUGGGAGGCUGAGGCAGGAGAAUUGCUUGAGCCCAGGAGGUGGAGGUUGCAGUGAGCCAAGGUUGCAACAUUGCACUCCAGCCUGGGCAACAAGCAUGAAAUUCUGCCUCAA
Pongo abelii (Sumatran orangutan) is the source of this 149-nucleotide unclassified non-coding RNA. It matches the Rfam family "Metazoan signal recognition particle RNA". From Rfam's summary of the family: The signal recognition particle (SRP) is a universally conserved ribonucleoprotein. Lineage: Eukaryota; Metazoa; Chordata; Mammalia; Primates; Hominidae. The record is from Ensembl.